Heterocephalus glaber (naked mole-rat) is the source of this 428-nucleotide long non-coding RNA. RefSeq lists it as uncharacterized. Lineage: Eukaryota; Metazoa; Chordata; Mammalia; Rodentia; Bathyergidae. The record is from RefSeq and is a predicted model, not a curated record.
CAGCUCCAAAGAAGAACAUCUCUUCUCUCCAGCAUGUGGCUACUUUUGCAAGAGUGGCUUCUUGUGACAGCACCUAGAACAGAACUGGGCUACUUGAAGGCGAAAAGCAGGUGUUUCUCAAGAGACAGUAAAAGGAAAGGAAGAGAGGAGCGGAGACAGCCAGGAGGAGGAGGAAAUGGAAGCCUGAGACCUGUACUUUCCUACAUACUUGUUGUUCUAAGAUUUUAAAAUCAGCUUGCACCAACUAACGGACUUCAGAACGAGGCUCACAGGCAGCCGAGGUGAUGGAAGUGGAUUUAACAUUUCAGGCCCUUUGGUGGAAAUUACCAGGCUCCGACUCCUGUUAUGGUGUUGUGCAUCUGCUGCUGCAGUGGAGGAACUGAAGGGGCCACAGAGGCAGCAUCUGCAUGAGCUUUUAGGGGAAAAUA